RNAcentral lists this long non-coding RNA (308 nucleotides) under Mytilus galloprovincialis (Mediterranean mussel). Lineage: Eukaryota; Metazoa; Mollusca; Bivalvia; Mytilida; Mytilidae. The record is from RNAcentral.
UAAUUUUGUUUUAAUUAAUGAAUAGGUCUGUAAGAUAGGACAUAAAUGCUUUUUAAACAACUUUUGAGAUUAGUUAGAGCAAUAAUAAUCAACAAAGUAAAUUAAAUGAGUAAAUUAUAAGGUGAAGUUCAAAUUCCUUUCACUUAAACGGGCAAACGUUGAUUUGCAAAAUCCUUUUGUAUAAGUGAAUACUGAGCAGAGGUUAGAAAAACGCCAUAUAAAAAAAUAAGGAAUGAUUGAAAAUAUAAGUAAAUAAAAAAUCAUAAAAUGAAUAAAUGUAUUGAGAAGAAAGAAAAAAAAGGAAGACA